This 538-nucleotide ribosomal RNA is filed under the name uncultured bacterium. Its description in RNAcentral is "bacterial SSU rRNA". It matches the Rfam family "Bacterial small subunit ribosomal RNA", at positions 774 to 1306 of the family's 1533-position model. The record is from RNAcentral.
AGUGAAUAGAUACCCUGGUAGUCCACGCCCUAAACUAUGUCAACUAGGUGUUGGGUGGGUAAAACCAUUUAGUACCGUAGCUAAACGCGUGAAAGUUGACCGCCUGGGGAGUACGGCCGCAAGGUUAAAACUCAAAGGAAUUGACGGGGACCCGCACAAGCGGUGGAUGAUGUGGAUUAAUUCGAUGCAACGCGAAAAAACCUUACCUACCCUUGACAUGCCAGGAACUUGCCAGAGAUGGCUUGGUGCCCGAAAGGGAGCCUGGACACAGGUGCUGCAUGGCUGUCGUCAGCUCGUGUCGUGAGAUGUUGGGCUAAGUCCCGCAACGAGCGCAACCCUUGUCGUUAAUUGCCAUCAUUUGGUUGGGCACUUUAACGAGACUGCCGGUGACAAACCGGAGGAAGGUGGGGAUGACGUCAAGUCCUCAUGGCCCUUAUGGGUAGGGCUUCACACGUCAUACAAUGGUCGGUACAGAGGGUUGCCAAGCCGCGAGGCGGAGCCAAUCCCAGAAAGCCGAUCGUAGUCCGGAUUGCAGGCU